CAAUGCUGUCUCACCAAUAAGUUUGUUUAUACAGGAACCUUGUUGUGGAAGAUGCGUCUGUUGCUGGCCCUGUUCAUCAUAUUGCACCGUGUGAAGUCGCAGACUAUCCGACAGACGCCCGCUGCCGUCUCCCAGUUUGCGGAGCAGGGAGUGAAGCUGCAGUGUCAUGUGGAAGGAGCAAGUACCCCCAGAAUGUCCUGGUACAGACAAGCUCCUGGGAAGGGGCUGCAGCUGAUGUUUUACUCUAUUACCACCAGAGCAGUAGAUCCACAGGGGUCGGUGGACGGGUUCACCGCCAGGCGACCGAGUGAUCUUGAGUUCAUUCUGGAGACCACGAGCUUAUGGGCGAAUCAGUCGGCCGUGUAUUACUGUGCCUGGAGUAUUCACAGUGACUCAGAAAGAGGGAGCAGCUCAACAAAAACCCCAAAAGUUGCUCGAAAAACCGUGAACGCUAAAACGGACAGUGUUGCUUUCGGUUUCUCUUCCGCGCAUUAG
This is a non-coding RNA of Chiloscyllium plagiosum (whitespotted bambooshark), 495 nucleotides long. NCBI's taxonomy places the organism in Eukaryota, Metazoa, Chordata, Chondrichthyes, Orectolobiformes, Hemiscylliidae. The record is from the annotation of a RefSeq genome assembly.